CCACUUUCAUAUAGUAAAAUUAAAUUUUGGCCUAUGAAAUAAAAACAUAAAAAAUUGGCCAGUUUUUGUGUAAAAGUACAAAAUUACCCUUCACUUUAAAAUUUAAAAAAAUGGCCAGUCAAAAAUACUCCCUCACUUCUCUCGCUCGCUCUCUCUCUCCUUUCAUCUCCCAAUCCACAGUUGCAUUUCUUCUCUCUCGAGACAGUCGCCGGUCACCGCCUCCGCCUCCGUCGUCGUCGCCUCUGCCGCAGCCGCCUGAAAUUCCUGGCGAGGCAGCUUCUCCGGCGAAGUUGCCGCCGCAACCUGAAAUCUCCUCUCUUUCUCUUUGCCAACAAUUUCACCUUCUCCGUCAAAACCUCCUCAUCAGGCGGAGUUCGUUCCCUACUUCACAGUGGCCGCGUUCGAGCUCAGCCGUGAUUAACGGUGUGAUUCGACUGCGGAUCCUCCAUCGCCGUCCAAGUAGGGUAGAUCUGAGCUUUCUUUUUGGGCGGCCGAUUUGGUCGAGCGCCAGGAUGGCCUCGAUGGCCAACGCCGCCAUGUCGAAUGCGGCGAGGCGAUACUAAAGCUUGGCGGUAGGGAGGACGAAAUAAAUCUGAGCGGCGUUGAGUAGGUCGUCAUGGGGGAGGGAUGGGAUGAAAUCGUCGAAGUAGAUGCGAAGUUGCAGAGAAAGAAGGAAUUGGGGAUAAAUUUAGGGAUUGGAGUGCUUGGGAAGCGGUUAUGGGAAGAGAGAAGAGGCGCAAUUCACUGGUGCCUUUUUCCUUGUGUAACUUUUCCUUGAUGCCUUUUCCUUGAUUCCUUGUUGCAAUAAUGAGUUUAUGGGGGAGGUGUGCAUUUCACAAUCGUGGAGCUGCUGUUGUCAUUUUCUGCCAAUUUUGGGGAAUGUCCUUUAGAGAUAUGUAGAAUUUAUGUAGCUUAGAUCUCUCUCUCUUAUGCUCAUUGGUUGAAUUUUUUAUGAGA
RNAcentral lists this long non-coding RNA (957 nucleotides) under Salvia miltiorrhiza (redroot sage). Its description in RNAcentral is "long non-coding RNA (SMIL_LNC002304)". Lineage: Eukaryota; Viridiplantae; Streptophyta; Magnoliopsida; Lamiales; Lamiaceae. The record is from RNAcentral.